GAUAACCCCCAAUUCUGGCCCCCCUAUUUUCUACGCUUUAUUUUUGACCCCUUUUAAUCUGAAACGGCGCCGUUUCGUUUCAAUCCACCAUUCACCGUGCAGCUUUCUUUUCUUUUUCCUUUUCUUUCACAAAAUGCACGAUCGACCUACUUCUUUUCCUUUUUUUUUUUUUUUUUUUUUUUCCCCUUUUCCCUUCUCUCCCUUCUGCCGCCGCAAAUGCUGACUGCCCCACCGCUCUUCUUCUCCACUCAGGGGUCUUCCUUUUUCUUCCUUGCCACACAGCCAUGGCAGCGGGAAUAGUUGCCGCCCCCCCCACCUCCACCGCCUCUGCCGCCAGCGUCUCUUCCCACCGCACCUUUCCUCUUCUUCCUACAAUUUUUCGCUACGCGAUUCAUCCAAUUGUUCCGAUUUGGGGAGAUGGUAUUCAAGCUCAGGAUCGGAGAGUAAAGAAGGCGGCACAACCAUGCCGGCGGCGGGGUACCACGUCGGCGUCGGACCAUCGUACAUGUGGGGAGCUGUGUUUUGGGAAAAGAAUAAACCACUCACUUUUGAAGAUUUUCAGAUGCCCCGCCCUAAGGCCAACGAAGUUCUGAUCAAAACCAAGGGUAAUUAAUUUGGGUUGUUUUUUUUUUCCUCAAUUUAGUUGUUGUACAUUAUGCUGCAAAGCUUGUUCUUUUUUUUUUUUUUUUUUUCCUUUUUUAUUUUGGGAAUAUACUAAUUGGAGAUGAGAGAGAGGGAAGUAAUUGGAGAAGAGAAGUCAUUUUUGAUUUUUCAUUCAAUAUUUUUGAUUUUUGAUACGUUUUGUUGUAAUUGUAAAGUACAAAAAAAAAGCCACAAUACCUUUUUAGGUUUUAAUUAAUCUGUAGCAAACCAAUUAUGGAUCAUGUUAUUGGAGGCAAGUUGAAGCUGGGGAGGAAGAUUGGUAGCGAAUCUUUUGGAGAGCUUUAUUUGGGUAAUCUCAUCGGCAAUAUUUUAUCUCAUUUUUUCUUUAUAGGCAAAAUCUAUAUAAAUAUUUAUAUAUGUGCUAUUUUAAAUUUCGUUGAGGAGUAAAUAUACAAACUGGAGAAGAAGUUGCUGUGAAGCUGGUGAGUAGACUUUUCCGUCUUCGAAUUGGAUAAAUGGUUUAGGUGUUCAAUUCUUGAAUGAGACUUAUGUCCGGAAUUUGCGAAUCCGAUCAUCAACCCCGCCGUCGAAGAAUCCAUCGUGGAAGCUGCUCGCAAAGCAUUCUUCAGAAAUGGUGGCAAAGAUUGAUCAUCCGCAACUGGGACCCACCGAGCCAAGUAUGUACGAGCCAUCGCUGCUAAGGUUUUCCUUCCUCACUCUAAUUAAAUUUUGUUGCAAAAUAUUUCAGUUUCUUUGUGGACUAUUUUCUCGUAUGGUUUGGGGGUGCGAUAGAAACUAUGUUGGUAAUUUUUUGUAAAAGUAUAAAAUCUUGAGUCUUCCUUCGUGAAUUCGAGAACUGAAUUGUGUAAAGGUUUAUUUCAAUUUUAUUGGUACUGUUUCGACUUUAUUUUGGA
This is a non-coding RNA of Erythranthe guttata (spotted monkey flower), 1517 nucleotides long. The record is from RefSeq and is a predicted model, not a curated record. Lineage: Eukaryota; Viridiplantae; Streptophyta; Magnoliopsida; Lamiales; Phrymaceae.